ACAGUCGAGCGAACAGACAAGGAGCUUGCUCCUUUGACGUUAGCGGCGGACGGGUGAGUAACACGUGGGUAACCUACCUAUAAGACUGGGAUAACUUCGGGAAACCGGAGCUAAUACCGGAUAAUAUUUCGAACCGCAUGGUUCGAUAGUGAAAGAUGGUUUUGCUAUCACUUAUAGAUGGACCCGCGCCGUAUUAGCUAGUUGGUAAGGUAACGGCUUACCAAGGCGACGAUACGUAGCCGACCUGAGAGGGUGAUCGGCCACACUGGAACUGAGACACGGUCCAGACUCCUACGGGAGGCAGCAGUAGGGAAUCUUCCGCAAUGGGCGAAAGCCUGACGGAGCAACGCCGCGUGAGUGAUGAAGGUCUUCGGAUCGUAAAACUCUGUUAUUAGGGAAGAACAUACGUGUAAGUAACUAUGCACGUCUUGACGGUACCUAAUCAGAAAGCCACGGCUAACUACGUGCCAGCAGCCGCGGUAAUACGUAGGUGGCAAGCGUUAUCCGGAAUUAUUGGGCGUAAAGCGCGCGUAGGCGGUUUUUUAAGUCUGAUGUGAAAGCCCACGGCUCAACCGUGGAGGGUCAUUGGAAACUGGAAAACUUGAGUGCAGAAGAGGAAAGUGGAAUUCCAUGUGUAGCGGUGAAAUGCGCAGAGAUAUGGAGGAACACCAGUGGCGAAAGCGACUUUCUGGUCUGUAACUGACGCUGAUGUGCGAAAGCGUGGGGAUCAAACAGGAUUA
RNAcentral lists this ribosomal RNA (740 nucleotides) under Staphylococcus sp. Its description in RNAcentral is "bacterial SSU rRNA". It matches the Rfam family "Bacterial small subunit ribosomal RNA", at positions 58 to 780 of the family's 1533-position model. Lineage: Bacteria; Bacillati; Bacillota; Bacilli; Caryophanales; Staphylococcaceae. The record is from RNAcentral.